UAUUUUCCAAUUUAAUAUCUAAUUUGAAUGUUUUGACAGAGUCUUUUGCAAUUGAGCAGGAUGAGGAAUCACACCAAUCAUUUGUAAAUGAAAGCAGCAGUCAUGAUGUUGUCAAUGAGAAUGAAUUUUAAAUAGGAUAUGAUACAGGGCCACUUUUAAGUGAUGAAGCAGACAAGUAUGAUGAUGGUAAUGAUGAUGAAUCAUACCAUCCUUCAAGCGAUGAAAAAAGCUGUGAUGAAGAUACCAUUAAUGAUCUUGAUAUGCCCAGUAAGCCUUUCAAAUCUGAAAUGCAGCAGAAACAAGCUGCACUUGCAAGUGACAGUGAAAAGGACAGUGAAUGUGAAGAUGAUCAUGAUGAUGUCAGCAAAGUUUUACCACAGUCAGAGAAGCGAAAGACCAGUUUUUUAGAGGCCAAAAACA
Saccostrea echinata is the source of this 420-nucleotide long non-coding RNA. RefSeq lists it as uncharacterized. The transcript has 3 exons. The record is from RefSeq and is a predicted model, not a curated record. Lineage: Eukaryota; Metazoa; Mollusca; Bivalvia; Ostreida; Ostreidae.